UGCCAGCCGCCGCGGUAAUACGGAAGGUGCAAGCGUUGUUCGGAAUUACUGGGCGUAAAGCGCACGUAGGCGGAUUAGAAAGUUAGAGGUGAAAUCCCGGGGCUCAACCCCGGAACUGCCUUUAAAACUACUAGUCUAGAGUUCGAGAGAGGUGAGUGGAAUUCCGAGUGUAGAGGUGAAAUUCGUAGAUAUUCGGAGGAACACCAGUGGCGAAGGCGGCUCACUGGCUCGAUACUGACGCUGAGGUGCGGAAGUGUGGGGAGCAAACAGGAUUAUCUG
Molecule: ribosomal RNA, 279 nt
Filed under: uncultured bacterium
Lineage: Bacteria
Description: partial 16S ribosomal RNA
Rfam family: Bacterial small subunit ribosomal RNA
Source: RNAcentral